Molecule: ribosomal RNA, 376 nt
Filed under: uncultured bacterium
Lineage: Bacteria
Description: partial 16S ribosomal RNA
Rfam family: Bacterial small subunit ribosomal RNA
Source: RNAcentral
CCUACGGGGGGCAGCAGUAGGGAAUCUUCCACAAUGGGCGAAAGCCUGAUGGAGCAACGCCGCGUGGGUGAAGAAGGUCUUCGGAUCGUAAAACCCUGUUGUUAGAGAAGUAAGUUCGUGAGAGUAACUGUCCACGUUUCGACGGUAUCUAACCAGAAAGCCACGGCUAAAUCCGUGCCAGCAGCUGCGGUAAUACGUAGGUGGCGAGAGUUAUCCGGUUUGAUUGGGCGUAAAGGGAACGCAGGCGGUCGUUGAAGUCUGAUGGGAAAGGCUGCGGAGUAACAGGAAAAGUGCAUUGGAGAAUGGGAGCAGGGAGGACAGUAGAGGGAGGAGGAAGUAGGGGUGUAGGGGUGAAAGGCAUAGAUAUAACGCAGAA